GGGCGCUUAGCUCAGCUGGGAGAGCAUUUGGGUCACAACCAAAGGGUCGACGGUUCAAGCCCGCCAGCGCCCA
Molecule: transfer RNA, 73 nt
Filed under: Treponema sp.
Lineage: Bacteria; Pseudomonadati; Spirochaetota; Spirochaetia; Treponematales; Treponemataceae
Description: tRNA-Val
Rfam family: tRNA
About the family: Transfer RNA (tRNA) molecules are approximately 80 nucleotides in length. Their secondary structure includes four short double-helical elements and three loops (D, anti-codon, and T loops).
Source: RNAcentral